UAGGGAAUAUUGCAAAAUGGGCGAAAGCCCGAUGCAGCAACGCCGCGUGGGCGAUGAAGGCCUUCGGGUCGUAAAGCCCUUUUUGAGGGGAUGAGGAAGGACAGUACCCUCAGAAUAAGCCUCGGCUAACUACGUGCCAGCAGCCGCGGUAAAACGUAGGAGGCGAGCGUUAUCCGGAUUUCCUGGGCGUAAAGCGCGUGCAGGCGGAUUGGAGAGUUGGAUGUGAAAGCUCCCGGCUUAACUGGGAGAGGUCGUUCAAUACUUCCAGUCUUGAGUGCAGUAGAGGGAAGUGGAAUUCCGGGUGUAGUGGUGAAAUGCGUAGAUAUCCGGAGGAACACCAGUGGCGAAAGCGGCUUCCUGGACUGUAACUGACGCUCAGACGCGAAAGCUAGGGUAGCAAACG
RNAcentral lists this ribosomal RNA (403 nucleotides) under uncultured bacterium. RNAcentral describes it as "bacterial SSU rRNA". It matches the Rfam family "Bacterial small subunit ribosomal RNA", at positions 355 to 774 of the family's 1533-position model. The record is from RNAcentral.